GCAGAGAAAGGGGAUCAGAGUGGUGCUUGGGAAGUGUGUGGGGCAAAUUUGUGGCAUGCCUGUCAGAAAGGCUGGCCUCCACUGCUUUAUACUGAUUCCAUUUUGAAAG
Molecule: long non-coding RNA, 109 nt
Organism: Gavialis gangeticus (Gharial)
Lineage: Eukaryota; Metazoa; Chordata; Crocodylia; Gavialidae
Exons: 3
Source: RefSeq, a predicted model, not a curated record